AGCAGGUUGGCAGAUUAGUGCAAUUGAUUUAGGAUCAAUAUAUAGGGCUUACCCACCCCUACCUGCUA
This 68-nucleotide transfer RNA is filed under the name Paralvinella palmiformis. Its description in RNAcentral is "tRNA-Leu". Lineage: Eukaryota; Metazoa; Annelida; Polychaeta; Terebellida; Alvinellidae. The record is from RNAcentral.